AAACAGCAACACCAUCGUUUAAUCUAUAUAAAACAAGCGAGAAACGAGACCCACUUAUGACGCACAUCAACAAACGACAACUACUGAACAUCAGAUUCCUGUAUAAGGACAGAUGCACACACAUUCAGCAGGUGUAAACGUUUAAAUAGGUAUUAUCCUUCACCCUUAUCUGAAACAAUGUUGUAAAAUCCCAACAUAGAAAGACACACUAUAAAAUAUCAAUGAAAUAAGAGGUUAUAGUGUGUAAUAACAUUGCGUGAAAGAAUUCGAUGUUUGCUAUACCACUGUUUAUUUCAACGCACUUUAUAACAAUACCACUUUAUCAAUAUGAAUGAUUUUUUUUUUACUUUAAAAUCAUGUAUUAUUUGUUAAAUGUUAAAUAUUUUACAUGGACGAAUUUUCUGUAUAAAGUCAAUUAUUAUGUGAACUUUUGAAGCUCAAACUUUAAAUCGCUUUUACUACGCAAAUAAAAUAUCGGAAAACUAUACAAAUAAAG
Molecule: long non-coding RNA, 496 nt
Filed under: Mytilus galloprovincialis (Mediterranean mussel)
Lineage: Eukaryota; Metazoa; Mollusca; Bivalvia; Mytilida; Mytilidae
Source: RNAcentral